GACGAACCGUGCGAACGUUGUUCGGAAUCACUGGGCUUAAAGGGCGCGUAGGCGGGCGGCCCAGUCGGGGGUGAAAUCUUUCGGCUCAACCGGAAAAUAGCCUUCGAUACUGGUCGUCUGGAGGGGGGUAGGGGCGUGUGGAACUUCCGGUGGAGCGGUGAAAUGCGUUGAUAUCGGAAGGAACUCCGGUGGCGAAAGCGACACGCUGGACCUCACCUGACGCUGAGGCGCGAAAGCCAGGGGAGCGAACGGG
This 253-nucleotide ribosomal RNA is filed under the name uncultured bacterium. Its description in RNAcentral is "partial 16S ribosomal RNA". It matches the Rfam family "Bacterial small subunit ribosomal RNA", at positions 524 to 776 of the family's 1533-position model. The record is from RNAcentral.